RNAcentral lists this ribosomal RNA (465 nucleotides) under uncultured bacterium. RNAcentral's name for it is "partial 16S ribosomal RNA". It matches the Rfam family "Bacterial small subunit ribosomal RNA", at positions 338 to 795 of the family's 1533-position model. The record is from RNAcentral.
CCUACGGGUGGCAGCAGUAGGGAAUCUUCCACAAUGGACGAAAGUCUGAUGGAGCAACGCCGCGUGAGUGAAGAAGGGUCUCGGCUCGUAAAGCUCCGUUUGUAGUGAAGAAAGAUAGAGGUAGUAACUCGCCUUUAUUUGACGGUAAUUACUUAGAUAGUCACGGCUAACUACGUGCCAGGAGCUGCGGUAAUACGUAGGUGGCAAGCGUUGUUCGGAUUUAUUGGGCGUAAAGCGAGUGCAGGCGGUACGAUAAGUCUGAUGUGAAAGCCGUCGGCUCAACCGGAGAAUUGCAUCAGAAACUGUUGAGCUAGAGUGCAGAAGAGGUGAGUGGAACGCCAGGUGUAGCGGUGGAAUGCGUAGAUAUAUGGCAGAACACCGGUGGCGAAGGCGGCUCACUGGUCUGCAACUGACGCUGAGGCACGAAAGCGUGGGUAGCGAACAGGAUUAGAUACCCGAGUAGUC